UCCGUAGGGUGCAAUCGUUGUUCGGAAUCAUUGGGCGUAAAGCGCGUGUAGGCUGUUAGUUAAGUCGGGUGUGAAAUCCCUGAGCUCAACCGAGGAAGUGCAUCCGAAACUAGCUAGCUGGAGAGUGGUAGAGGGAGGUGGAAUUCCUAGUGUAGAGGUGAAAUUCGUAGAUAUUAGGAGGAAUACCGGUGGCGAAGGCGGCCUCCUGGGCCAUUUCUGACGCUGAGACGCGAAAGCGUGGGGAGAAAACAGU
Molecule: ribosomal RNA, 253 nt
Filed under: uncultured bacterium
Lineage: Bacteria
Description: partial 16S ribosomal RNA
Rfam family: Bacterial small subunit ribosomal RNA
Source: RNAcentral